RNAcentral lists this ribosomal RNA (247 nucleotides) under uncultured bacterium. RNAcentral's name for it is "partial 16S ribosomal RNA". It matches the Rfam family "Bacterial small subunit ribosomal RNA", at positions 107 to 354 of the family's 1533-position model. The record is from RNAcentral.
UGAGUAACGCGUGAGGAACCUGCCUUCCAGAGGGGGACAACAGUUGGAAACGACUGCUAAUACCGCAUGAAACAUUUGAACCGCAUGGUUUGAAUGUCAAAGAUUUAUCGCUGGAAGAUGGCCUCGCGUCUGAUUAGCUGGUAGGCGGGGUAACGGCCCACCUAGGCGACGAUCAGUAGCCGGACUGAGAGGUUGACCGGCCACAUUGGGACUGAGAUACGGCCCAGACUCCUACGGAAGGCAGCAG